GACGAACGCUGGCGGCGUGCUUAACACAUGCAAGUCGAACGGAAAGGCCCUGCUUUUGUGGGGUGCUCGAGUGGCGAACGGGUGAGUAACACGUGAGUAACCUGCCCUUGACUUUGGGAUAACUUCAGGAAACUGGGGCUAAUACCGGAUAGGAGCUCCUGCUGCAUGGUGGGGGUUGGAAAGUUUCGGCGGUUGGGGAUGGACUCGCGGCUUAUCAGCUGGUUGGUGGGGUAGUGGCUUACGAAGGCUCUGACGGUUAGCCGGCCUGGGGGGGUGACCGGCAACAUGGGGACGAGAUUAGGGCCCGGCCUCCUACGGGGGGAGGCGGUGGGGAAUAUUGCACAAGGGGCGGAGGCCUGAUGAAGCAAGCCGGCGUGCGGGAUAACGGCCUUCGGGUGGAAAACCGCUUUCGCCUGUAACGAGGCGUGAGUGACGGUAAUGAGUAAAGAAGCACCGGCUAACUACGUG
This 468-nucleotide ribosomal RNA is filed under the name uncultured bacterium. RNAcentral's name for it is "partial 16S ribosomal RNA". It matches the Rfam family "Bacterial small subunit ribosomal RNA", at positions 28 to 507 of the family's 1533-position model. The record is from RNAcentral.